RNAcentral lists this unclassified non-coding RNA (250 nucleotides) under uncultured fungus. Its description in RNAcentral is "partial contains small subunit ribosomal RNA, internal transcribed spacer 1, and 5.8S ribosomal RNA". The stretch from base 1 to 73 matches the Rfam family "Eukaryotic small subunit ribosomal RNA", at positions 1759 to 1831 of the family's 1831-position model. Lineage: Eukaryota; Fungi. The record is from RNAcentral.
UCAAACUUGGUCAUUUAGAGGAAGUACAAGUCGUAACAAGGUUUCCGUAGGUGAACCUGCGGAAGGAUCAUUUUUGAAGGCUACACGCCGACAUUGUGAAACGCCAGAAGCGCGCAAGCGUGGAAGGCACUGCUUGGGUGGAGCCUAGCUCUACCCAACUUUUAAACUUUUACCAAUUUAUCUGAAAACUUGAAAAUUUAAAACUUUCAACAACGGAUCUCUUGGUUCUCACAUCGAUGAAGAACGCAGC